CGAUUUUUAGCUCAUUAGGUUAGAGCAUAUGUCUAUUAAACAUGUGGUAGUUGGUUCGAAUCCAGCAAAAUCAA
Molecule: transfer RNA, 74 nt
Filed under: Clostridia bacterium
Lineage: Bacteria; Bacillati; Bacillota; Clostridia
Description: tRNA-Asn
Rfam family: tRNA
About the family: Transfer RNA (tRNA) molecules are approximately 80 nucleotides in length.
Source: RNAcentral